CAGUCGCCGCGGUAAUACAGAGGGUGCAAGCGUUAAUCGGAAUUACUGGGCGUAAAGCGCGCGUAGGUGGUUUGUUAAGUUGGAUGUGAAAGCCCCGGGCUCAACCUGGGAACUGCAUCCAAAACUGGCAAGCUAGAGUACGGUAGAGGGUGGUGGAAUUUCCUGUGUAGCGGUGAAAUGCGUAGAUAUAGGAAGGAACACCAGUGGCGAAGGCGACCACCUGGACUGAUACUGACACUGAGGUGCGAAAGCGUGGGGAGCAAACAGGAUUAGAUACCCCGGUAGUCCCUGUCUCUUAUAA
This 301-nucleotide ribosomal RNA is filed under the name uncultured bacterium. Its description in RNAcentral is "partial 16S ribosomal RNA". It matches the Rfam family "Bacterial small subunit ribosomal RNA", at positions 509 to 809 of the family's 1533-position model. The record is from RNAcentral.